ACGGGUGAGUAACACGUGGGCAAUCUGCCCUGCACUCUGGGACAAGCCCGGGAAACUGGGUCUAAUACCGGAUAUGACCUUCUUCCGCAUGGUUGAAGGUGGAAAGCUCCGGCGGUGCAGGAUGAGCCCGCGGCCUAUCAGCUUGUUGGUGGGGUAAUGGCCUACCAAGGCGACGACGGGUAGCCGGUCUGAGAGGGCGACCGGCCACACUGGGACUGAGACACGGCCCAGACUCCUACGGGAGGCAGCAGUGGGGAAUAUUGCACAAUGGGCGAAAGCCUGAUGCAGCGACGCCGCGUGAGGGAUGACGGCCUUCGGGUUGUAAACCUCUUUCAGCAGGGAAGAAGCGCAAGUGACGGUACCUGCAGAAGAAGCACCGGCUAACUACGUGCCAGCAGCCGCGGUAAUACGUAGGGUGCGAGCGUUGUCCGGAAUUAUUGGGCGUAAAGAGCUCGUAGGCGGCUUGUCACGUCGGGUGUGAAAGCCCGGGGCUUAACCCCGGGUCUGCAUUCGAUACGGGCAGGCUUGAGUGUGGUAGGGGAGAUCGGAAUUCCUGGUGUAGCGGUGAAAUGCGCAGA
Molecule: ribosomal RNA, 578 nt
Filed under: uncultured bacterium
Lineage: Bacteria
Description: bacterial SSU rRNA
Rfam family: Bacterial small subunit ribosomal RNA
Source: RNAcentral